CAUGUGGUUUAAUUCGAUGGUACGCGAGAAACCUUACCAGGGCUUGACAUACACCGGAAGCGCCGUGAAAGCGGCGUGCCGCUUGCGGCCGGUGAACAGGUGCUGCAUGGCUGUCGUCAGCUCGUGCUGUGAAGUGUUGGGUUAAGUCCCGCAACGAGCGCAACCCCUGCCGUCUGUUGCCACCACGAAAGGUGGGGACUCAGGCGGGACCGCCGGUGACAAACCGGAGGAAGGUGGGGACGACGCCAAGUCAUCAUGGCCCUUAUGUCCUGGGCCACACACGUGCUACAAUGGCCGGUACAGAGCGCAGCGAGGCCGCGAGGCGGAGCGAAUCGCUUAAAGCCGGUCCCAGUACGGAUUGGAGUCUGCAACCCGACUCCAUGAAGUUGGAAUCGCUAGUAAUCGCGCAUCAGCAUGGCGCGGUGAAUACGUUCCCGGGCCUU
RNAcentral lists this ribosomal RNA (443 nucleotides) under uncultured Spirochaeta sp. RNAcentral's name for it is "bacterial SSU rRNA". It matches the Rfam family "Bacterial small subunit ribosomal RNA", at positions 938 to 1382 of the family's 1533-position model. Lineage: Bacteria; Pseudomonadati; Spirochaetota; Spirochaetia; Spirochaetales; Spirochaetaceae. The record is from RNAcentral.